RNAcentral lists this ribosomal RNA (36 nucleotides) under Tiquilia hispidissima. RNAcentral's name for it is "partial 26S ribosomal RNA". Lineage: Eukaryota; Viridiplantae; Streptophyta; Magnoliopsida; Boraginales; Ehretiaceae. The record is from RNAcentral.
CCGCGACCCCAGGUCGGGCGGGACUACCCGCUGAGU